AGAUUGCUUCAUGAGAUGUGGGGUAACCAAGCUCUUUCCCCACCACCUGUUCCUUUAGGAACUACUCCGGUCACCAUUUAGCCUCCGUUUACGACUCUUCAGUUUCGUUUCCAUCUUCUUUCAGUUGCACUUCCAAAGUAAGGGUUAUUAGUGAAUCGAAUUUGUGCAAGAGUAUGAUGAACAAGUCUAGACAAAGUGCUCGAUGUUCCAGAAACAGUCUAAAGAUGAAGAAUGUUAUCAAUUCUCUGUCGUCCCCUGUCUGCAUCUGUUUCUUGGAAUCCAGUGAGGAGCUUUGUUUUAGCUUUCAACUCUGUUUCUCCAAUCUUCCAAGAUUUGAAAGUUUGUGAUAACAGAUGCUUGGCUGUAGCAGAAUUAGCUUUACCAGAAGACAAAGGUGAUUCAGUUUUAUGCUGUGGCAUUCAUUGGCCCCGAAGACUCAAACAAUCAUGUUUUGAUACAGACCUACACGAGGGUUGUUGCUGUUGCAACUCAUAAAGGCAUAGGAAAGAUGGCAAAGCUGGUACUCUUGUGGUGAUUCCAUGUUUGUUGAAUUAUCUGAGAAUGAAACAAAAGGGUUUGAAUCAGCUUUGAUUUCCUUUCAUUCGUGUAAAGUAUAACUAGAUGUUUCCUG
This is a long non-coding RNA of Brassica napus (rape), 631 nucleotides long. RefSeq lists it as uncharacterized. The transcript has 3 exons. The record is from RefSeq and is a predicted model, not a curated record. NCBI's taxonomy places the organism in Eukaryota, Viridiplantae, Streptophyta, Magnoliopsida, Brassicales, Brassicaceae.